This 681-nucleotide unclassified non-coding RNA is filed under the name Hevea brasiliensis (rubber tree). The record is from RNAcentral. Lineage: Eukaryota; Viridiplantae; Streptophyta; Magnoliopsida; Malpighiales; Euphorbiaceae.
GGACAGCACACUCCUUGGAAUCGUGGAAUGGUGGUGUUCUUGUGAUGGUUUCUGGUUCUGUGCAAGUGAAGGAUUUCAGUGGAAGGAGGAAAUUUGUGGAAACGUUUUUCCUUGCACCUCAGGAGAAGGGCUAUUUUGUCCUCAAUGAUGUUUUUCACUUCAUUGAUGAGGAACAAAUUCACCACUAUCCAGCUGUCUUACGAGACCAGAACAAUCUUGAAUCCAAGCUUAAUGCUCCUACUGCUAUUCCAGAGCCGGUUCCAAAUUAUAUGUUGGGUGGAGAAAUCCAGGCUAGGGAAUUUGCUGCUCCCACUGAAGCCAAGGAAAAUGGUCCAGUUGACAACUACGGUUUUUCAGAGCAACAAUUGCAGCAAGUUCCUGAGUCUGAAAAUGUUCGGGAGGAAAAUUCUGUGGAGUCAAAUGGUUCAAUUCAAAACACAGUAAAUACUGCACAGGACCAGCUGUCAGCUUCUGUUGAGGAACCUAUUGGAGAGCCCCAGAAACACACUUAUGCUUCCAUUUUACGGGUAGCUAAGGGACAAUCUUCGCCAUCAGUUGCUCCCCAACCUUCUUUUAACAAGAAUGCCCAACCUACUUCAGAUUGGAAUCAUGCUCCACAGCCCAUUUCUCAGCAAGCAACUGUGACAUCAAAUUCAUUUGAAAAGCCUGGAGAAGAAACAG